AGGGAGAGGAGUUCGUGCCAGAGGAGGGAGAGGAGUUUUUGUCAGAGGAGGGAGAGGAGCAGGCCAAGGAGGGAGAGGAGCAGGUCAAGGAGGUAGAGGAGCGGGCCAAGGAGGGAGAGGAGCAGGUCAAGGAGGUAGAGGAGCGGGCCAAGGAGGGAGAGGAGCAGGUCAAGGAGGUAGAGGAGCGGGCCAAGGAGGGAGAGGAGCAGGUCAAGGAGGUAGAGGAGCGGGCCAAGGAGGGAGAGGAGCAGGUCAAGGAGGUAGAGGAGCGGGCCAAGGAGGGAGAGGAGCAGGUCAAGGAGGUAGAGGAGCAGGCCAAGGAGGGAGAGGAGAAGGAGGGCGAGCAAGACAACGCAUCUUCAUCACAGAUGAAAUGAGAGCAACGGUCAUUGACCACGUCAUUGUCCACGGCAUGACAAUGACCGAAGCUGGACAACGAGUCCAACCAAACCUAAGCCGAUUCUCAGUGGCCACCAUUAUUCGGGCCUUCAGAGAACACAACAGAGUUGAAAGAUUGCCAUAUGCAGGUGGGAGGGCUUCCAGAUUCACACCAGCCCAAGAGGUCGACAUUGUGGAUAUGGUUCGGGAGAACAAUGUGCUGAGACUACGGGAGAUACGGGAGAGGAUCAUUGGUGACAAUAUGAACUUUCCGAACAUUGACGAUGUUAGCCUGACAACCAUAGACAGAGUCCUCAAGCGCCAGAGAGUACAUCUUCUGGGACAAUGUUAGUUUCCAUCGCAGCAUCCAGGUCAGAGAGUGGUUUAACAUCAACCAGCAAUUUAUUAAUGUGUGUCUGCCACCCUACUCUCCAUUCCUAAACCCAAUAGAAGAGUUCUUCUCAUCAUGGCGGUGGAAGGUCUAUGACCGCCAACCGUACACCAGAGAGAACCUUCUCAGGGCUAUGGACCUGGCCUGUGAUGAUGUGGCUGUGGAGGCGUUCCAAGGCUGGGUGCGGCAUGCCAGGGCAUUCUUCCCACGAUGUUUGGCUAUGGACAAUAUUGCCUGUGACGUGGAUGAGGUACUGUGGCCCGACCCAGUCCGACGACGUGAUGCCGCCCAAUGAUUGCAGUGUCAACAUACUGUGUCAAUUUACAUGUACAACGUAGGCCUAAUAAAAGAGAUCGCACCCUGAA
Molecule: long non-coding RNA, 1134 nt
Organism: Eleginops maclovinus (Patagonian blennie)
Lineage: Eukaryota; Metazoa; Chordata; Actinopteri; Perciformes; Eleginopidae
Exons: 2
Source: RefSeq, a predicted model, not a curated record